Molecule: small RNA, 195 nt
Filed under: Ascochyta rabiei
Lineage: Eukaryota; Fungi; Ascomycota; Dothideomycetes; Pleosporales; Didymellaceae
Description: Didymella rabiei A. fumigatus sRNA Afu_182
Rfam family: A. fumigatus sRNA Afu_182
Source: Rfam by way of RNAcentral
UAUUGAACAACGCAAAAUUCAACACACCUACUAUAAAGCAUUUUCUUUGGAGAGACCCGCCGCCCACCGGUGGUGCGAGGUUUCCAUGAGCACGAAAACCGUCUGUAGAGUGGAGAGCAGCAAUUUGGCCGAUCUUGGGUGCGGUUUCCUCCGCUUUCGAGCACAUGGGGGAGAGCGCAAUGAUUGACCGUACAU